Molecule: ribosomal RNA, 1343 nt
Filed under: uncultured bacterium
Lineage: Bacteria
Description: 16S ribosomal RNA
Rfam family: Bacterial small subunit ribosomal RNA
Source: RNAcentral
GACGAACGCUGUUGGCGUGCUUAACACACGCAAGUCGAACGGAAAGGCCCUGCUUUUGUGGGGUGCUCGAGUGGCGAACGGGUGAGUAACACGUGAGUAACCUGCCCUUGACUUUGGGAUAACUUCAGGAAACUGGGGCUAAUACCGGAUAGGAGCUCCUGCUGCAUGGUGGGGGUUGGAAAGUUUCGGCGGUUGGGGAUGGACUCGCGGCUUAUCAGCUUGUUGGUGGGGUAGUGGCUUACCAAGGCUUUGACGGGUAGCCGGCCUGAGAGGGUGACCGGCCACAUUGGGACUGAGAUACGGCCCAGACUCCUACGGGAGGCAGCAGUGGGGAAUAUUGCACAAUGGGCGGAAGCUUGAUGCAGCAACGCCGCGUGCGGGAUGACGGCCUUCGGGUUGUAAACCGCUUUCGCCUGUGACGAAGCGUGAGUGACGGUAAUGGGUAAAGAAGCACCGGCUAACUACGUGCCAGCAGCCGCGGUGAUACGUAGGGUGCGAGCGUUGUCCGGAUUUAUUGGGCGUAAAGGGCUCGUAGGUGGUUGAUCGCGUCGGAAGUGUAAUCUUGGGGCUUAACCCUGAGCGUGCUUUCGAUACGGGUUGACUUGAGGAAGGUAGGGGAGAAUGGAAUUCCUGGUGGAGCGGUGGAAUGCGCAGAUAUCAGGAGGAACACCAGUGGCGAAGGCGGUUCUCUGGGCCUUUCCUGACGCUGAGGAGCGAAAGCGUGGGGAGCGAACAGGCUUAGAUACCCUGGUAGUCCACGCUGUAAACGGUGGGUACUAGGUGUGGGGUCCAUUCCACGGGUUCCGUGCCGUAGCUAACGCUUUAAGUACCCCGCCUGGGGAGUACGGCCGCAAGGCUAAAACUCAAAGGAAUUGACGGGGCCCCGCACAAGCGGCGGAGCAUGCGGAUUAAUUCGAUGCAACGCGUAGAACCUUACCUGGGUUUGACAUGGAUCGGGAGUGCUCAGAGAUGGGUGUGCCUCUUUUGGGGUCGGUUCACAGGUGGUGCAUGGCUGUCGUCAGCUCGUGUCGUGAGAUGUUGGGUUAAGUCCCGCAACGAGCGCAACCCUUGUUCACUGUUGCCAGCACGUUAUGGUGGGGACUCAGUGGAGACCGCCGGGGUCAACUCGGAGGAAGGUGGGGAUGACGUCAAGUCAUCAUGCCCCUUAUGUCCAGGGCUUCACGCAUGCUACAAUGGCUGGUACAGAGAGUGGCGAGCCUGUGAGGGUGAGCGAAUCUCGGAAAGCCGGUCUCAGUUCGGAUUGGGGUCUGCAACUCGACCUCAUGAAGUCGGAGUCGCUAGUAAUCGCAGAUCAGCAACGCUGCGGUGAAUACGUUCCCGGG